Non-coding RNA from Myotis brandtii (Brandt's bat), 75 nucleotides. The record is from Rfam. NCBI's taxonomy places the organism in Eukaryota, Metazoa, Chordata, Mammalia, Chiroptera, Vespertilionidae.
GGCGGUUCUCGGGGGACACACCCCGGAAUCGGGCUCCCUCCUCUUAGGUUCCGGGUGUGUCACCCGAGAACCGCA